Molecule: transfer RNA, 87 nt
Filed under: Phycisphaerales bacterium
Lineage: Bacteria; Pseudomonadati; Planctomycetota; Phycisphaerae; Phycisphaerales
Description: tRNA-Leu
Rfam family: tRNA
About the family: Transfer RNA (tRNA) molecules are approximately 80 nucleotides in length. Their secondary structure includes four short double-helical elements and three loops (D, anti-codon, and T loops).
Source: RNAcentral
GCGGGCGUGGCGAAACUGGCAGACGCGCAAGGUUCAGGUCCUUGUGGGGCUAAACACCCCGUGUAGGUUCAAGUCCUAUCGCCCGCA